AGAGUUUGAUCCUGGCUCAGGAUGAACGCUGGCGGCGUGCUUAACACAUGCAAGUCGAACGGAGGAUGUACGGUGAAGAGAUUUCGGUCAAAUCAUGUGCAUCUUUAGUGGCGGACGGGUGAGUAACGCGUGGGUAACCUGCCUUACACAGGGGGAUAACACUUAGAAAUAGGUGCUAAUACCGCAUGAGCGCACAGGAUCGCAUGGUCGAGUGUGAAAAACUGAGGUGGUGUAAGAUGGACCCGCGUCUGAUUAGCUAGUUGGUGAGGUAACGGCCCACCAAGGCGACGAUCAGUAGCCGGCCUGAGAGGGUGGACGGCCACAUUGGGACUGAGACACGGACCAAACUCCUACGGGAGGCAGCAGUGGGGGAUAUUGGACAAUGGGGGGAACCCUGAUCCAGCGACGCCGCGUGAGUGAAGAAGUAUCUCGGUAUGCAAAGCUCUAUCAGCAGGGAAGAAAUAGCGACCUUUGGGUCGCCAGACGGUACCUGAUUAAGAAGCCCCGGCUAACUACGUGCCAGCAGCCGCGGUAAUACGUAGGGGGCAAGCGUUAUCCGGAUUUACUGGGUGUAAAGGGAGCGUAGACGGCAGCGCAAGUCUGAAGUGAAAUGCCGGGGCUUAACCCCGGAACUGCUUUGGAAACUGUGCAGCUAGAGUGCAGGAGAGGUAAGUGGAAUUCCUAGUGUAGCGGUGAAAUGCGUAGAUAUUAGGAGGAACACCAGUGGCGAAGGCGGCUUACUGGACUGUAACUGACGUUGAGGCUCGAAAGCGUGGGGAGCAAACAGGAUUAGAUACCCUGGUAGUCCACGCUGUAAACGAUGAUUACUAGGUGUUGGGGGACCAAGGUCCUUCGGUGCCGUCGCAAACGCAUUAAGUAAUCCACCUGGGGAGUACGUUCGCAAGAAUGAAACUCAAAGGAAUUGACGGGGACCCGCACAAGCGGUGGAGCAUGUGGUUUAAUUCGAAGCAACGCGAAGAACCUUACCUGGUCUUGACAUCCCGAUGACGAGUGAGCAAAGUCACUUUCCCUUCGGGGCAUUGGAGACAGGUGGUGCAUGGUUGUCGUCAGCUCGUGUCGUGAGAUGUUGGGUUAAGUCCAGCAACGAGCGCAACCCCUGUUGCCAGUUACCAGCACGUGAAGGUGGGGACUCUGGCGAGACUGCCAAGAUCAACUGGGAGGAAGGUGGGGACGACGUCAGGUCAGUAUGGCCCUUAUGCCCAGGGCUGCACACGUACUACAAUGCCCAGUACAGAGGGGGCCGAAGCCGCGAGGCGGAGGAAAUCCUAAAAACUGGGCCCAGUUCGGACUGUAGGCUGCAACCCGCCUACACGAAGCCGGAAUCGCUAGUAAUGGCGCAUCAGCUACGGCGCCGUGAAUACGUUCUCCGGGUCUUGCACUCACCGCCCGUCA
RNAcentral lists this ribosomal RNA (1413 nucleotides) under uncultured bacterium. RNAcentral's name for it is "bacterial SSU rRNA". It matches the Rfam family "Bacterial small subunit ribosomal RNA". The record is from RNAcentral.